GACGAACGCUGGCGGCGUGCUUAACACAUGCAAGUCGAACGGAAAGGCCCUGCUUUUGUGGGGUGCUCGAGCGGCGAACGGGUGAGUAACACGUGAGUAACCUGCCCUUGACUUUGGGAUAACUUCAGGAAACUGGGGCUAAUACCGGAUAGGAGCUCCUGCUGCAUGGUGGGGGUUGGAAAGUUUCGGCGGUUGGGGAUGGACUCGCGGCUUAUCAGCUUGUUGGUGGGGUAGUGGCUUACCAAGGCUUUGACGGGUAGCCGGCCUGAGAGGGUGACCGGCCACAUUGGGACUGGGAUACGGCCAAGACUCCUACGGGAGGCAGCAGUGGGGAAUAUUGCACAAUGGGCGGAAGCCGGAUGCAGCAACGCCGCGUGCGGGAUGACGGCCUUCGGGUUGUAAACCGCUUUCGCCUGUGACGAAGCGUGAGUGACGGUAAUGGGUAAAGAAACACCGGCGAACUACGG
RNAcentral lists this ribosomal RNA (467 nucleotides) under uncultured bacterium. RNAcentral's name for it is "partial 16S ribosomal RNA". It matches the Rfam family "Bacterial small subunit ribosomal RNA", at positions 28 to 506 of the family's 1533-position model. The record is from RNAcentral.